UGCCUUACGUUACAUUUGCAUACAACACUGCUGUUCAAGAAACUACUGGGUUCACUCCUUUCUGUUUACUCAACGGCCAUGAGGCAACCACCAUGCUGGACGCCAGGCUCCUCCCUGAACAAUACGACAUUACCAUUGGCACAGAGGAAUUUACCCGGCUCACAGACGCAGCUCGCAAGCUUGCACACAAGCGAAUCCAGAAUCGGCAAUCCAUAGACUCCUAGAAGUAUAACGCUCGCCAUCGCGAUGUUGUCUACCAACCCAGUGAUCAAGUUUGGGUAUGGACCUCGAUUCGCCAAUGCAGCCAGUUGGAAAAGUUACUGCACAGCUACUUCGGCUCUUACAGAGUCAUCCGUCGCCUCAGCAAGGUGAACUAAGAAGUUCUCCCUGAAGACACCAAUCGGCGAUCCUAUCUCGUGCACCCUACAGAUAUUGUGCAUGUUUCCAGGAUGAAACCGUACCACUCAUCUUGAUGAGACCAUUCUCACUUCCACUCGCCUUGAUCCCUCUUGUGUGACACUUUCCUCUUCACAAACUUUUAUCUGUGUUGCCUUGUAUGUGCUUUGUUUCUUUCCCUCUAUUUCACAUUUGAAGCACCAAGACGAUGCUUUCUGGAAGGGGGGUAAUGUCAUGAGCGCAGUUGGCUGUGUAGUGGGUUUGCCGCUUCUGCAGAAGCUGAGGGCGAUGACGAUGAAGACACACUCUCAGUGAAGGUGUCGAACGGGAGCUGUCUGCUUCCAUUUGAUUAAGCUCAACAGUUCUUCAUCUAUUGCAAUACCACAACCAUUCCACAAGCCAGCGGAAGAAAGACUAAAUAAAAGAAACAAAGCAAACAUUUGCAGA
RNAcentral lists this long non-coding RNA (843 nucleotides) under Dermacentor andersoni. Its description in RNAcentral is "uncharacterized LOC126528123". Lineage: Eukaryota; Metazoa; Arthropoda; Arachnida; Ixodida; Ixodidae. The record is from RNAcentral.